GACGAACGCUGGCGGCGUGCUUAACAAAUGAAAGUCCAACGGUGAAGCCCUUCGAGGUGGAUCAGUGGCGAACGGACUAGUAACCCGUGAGCAACCUGCCCCUGGCUAUGGGACCCCUAUUGGCAACGGUGGCUCAUCCCGGAAACGACCCGCCCCGGCAUCGAGUGUGGGUGGCAAGUUUUUCCGCUGGGGAUGGGCUCGCGGCCUAUCAGCUUGUUGGUGAGGUGAAGGCUCACCAAGGCGACGACUGGUAGCCGGCCUGAGAGGGUGACCGGCCACACGGGUACUGAGACACGGCUCAGUCCCGUCCGGGGACCAGCAGUGGGGAAUGGAGCCCAAUAGGCGGAAGCCUGAUCCCGCGACGCCGCGUGGGGGAGGACGGCCUGCGGGUGGUAAUCCGCUCACAGUUCCUAAGAAGCGAAAGUGACAGUAGCAGCAGAAGAAGCACCUGCUAACUACGUG
This 462-nucleotide ribosomal RNA is filed under the name uncultured bacterium. RNAcentral's name for it is "partial 16S ribosomal RNA". It matches the Rfam family "Bacterial small subunit ribosomal RNA", at positions 28 to 507 of the family's 1533-position model. The record is from RNAcentral.